RNAcentral lists this ribosomal RNA (263 nucleotides) under uncultured bacterium. RNAcentral's name for it is "partial 16S ribosomal RNA". It matches the Rfam family "Bacterial small subunit ribosomal RNA", at positions 793 to 1055 of the family's 1533-position model. The record is from RNAcentral.
GUCCUGACCGUAAACGGUGGACACUAGGUGUUGGAGGCAUCGACCCCUCCAGUGCCGCAGCUAACGCAUUAAGUGUCCCGCCUGGGGAGUACGACCGCAAGGUUGAAACUCAAAGGAAUUGACGGGGGCCCGCACAAGCGGUGGAGCAUGUGGUUUAAUUCGACGCAACGCGAAGAACCUUACCCAGGCUUGACAUGCACGGGACAGGUGUGGAAACACACCCUCUCUUCGGAGUCCGUGCACAGGUGCUGCAUGGCUGUCGU